AAGUCGUAACAAGGUCUCCGUAGGUGAACCUGCGGAGGGAUCAUUACUACGCAAUUUUUGCUCCACCCUGUUUACUGUUCUGUUGCUUAGGAGGCGCCCCUCGGGAGGGGAUCUGCUUCGGCCGCCUCCGAAAGCACCAAAACUAUAUCUUAUUAUCUGUGUCAAUUCUGAAAACACAAAAACAUUAAAACCUCAACAACGGAUCUCUUGGUUACA
RNAcentral lists this unclassified non-coding RNA (216 nucleotides) under fungal sp. RNAcentral describes it as "partial internal transcribed spacer region". The stretch from base 1 to 46 matches the Rfam family "Eukaryotic small subunit ribosomal RNA", at positions 1786 to 1831 of the family's 1831-position model. Lineage: Eukaryota; Fungi. The record is from RNAcentral.